UACAGAGGGUGCGAGCGUUAUUCGGAAUUACUGGGCGUAAAGCGUGCGUAGGCGGUUAUUUAAGUCGGGCGUGAAAGCCCCGGGCUCAACCUGGGAAUUGCAUUCGAGACUGAAUAGCUAGGGUACGGUAGAGGGAAGCGGAAUUUCCGGUGUAGCGGUGAAAUGCGUAGAUAUCGGAAGGAACAUCAGUGGCGAAAGCGGCUUCCUGGACCAGUACCGACGUUCAGGCACGAAAGCGUGGGGAGCAAACAGG
Molecule: ribosomal RNA, 253 nt
Filed under: uncultured bacterium
Lineage: Bacteria
Description: partial 16S ribosomal RNA
Rfam family: Bacterial small subunit ribosomal RNA
Source: RNAcentral